CACCAAUCCUCAAAAUGUGUAAAAUCAUCUUUAUAUUAAUUCUAGACGCAUGACUUCGAUUUGUGAACAUACCUAUUAAACAUGAAUACAAGCCUAAAGCAACUGUUGACCCCGCAAAUUGGACCCUCCACGUGAUUAACCGAAAGCUAAUCCAUGUGUUUCUUUCUGUGCGCAACAACAAAUGGUCAAGCGUAUAUGGCUAAUACCAACGGUGGUGACAACAACCACAUACCCUCUGACGAUCAAGUCAGUUGACGAUGGUGCCGGAAUGCGCAAUACUCAAAGGGGGAGGAGAAAAUGUAGUUGCUUG
RNAcentral lists this long non-coding RNA (310 nucleotides) under Olea europaea subsp. europaea. Lineage: Eukaryota; Viridiplantae; Streptophyta; Magnoliopsida; Lamiales; Oleaceae. The record is from RNAcentral.